UGGCGUAGCGCGCAAAGCUUCGGCUUGCUAAGCCGAAGGUCCCGGGUUCGAAUCCCGG
Molecule: non-coding RNA, 58 nt
Organism: Habropoda laboriosa
Lineage: Eukaryota; Metazoa; Arthropoda; Insecta; Hymenoptera; Apidae
Source: Rfam